GAGUUAGUAGUUUAAUUGGUCAAAUACUUUCUUGUCGAGAAAGAAGAUGCCGGAUCGUGCCCGGUCUAACUCG
This 73-nucleotide transfer RNA is filed under the name Heterodermia casarettiana. RNAcentral's name for it is "tRNA-Asx". Lineage: Eukaryota; Fungi; Ascomycota; Lecanoromycetes; Caliciales; Physciaceae. The record is from RNAcentral.